UUUUCAGUACGAAUACGAAC
Molecule: small nuclear RNA, 20 nt
Filed under: Arabidopsis thaliana (thale cress)
Lineage: Eukaryota; Viridiplantae; Streptophyta; Magnoliopsida; Brassicales; Brassicaceae
Description: snRNA_17738
Source: RNAcentral